UAGCAUGCUCGUCGAACGAUGAAGCCCUUCGGGGUGGAUUAGUGGCGAACGGGUGAGUAACACGUGGGCAAUCUGCCCUUCACUCUGGGACAAGCCCUGGAAACGGGGUCUAAUACCGGAUAAUACUUCCACUCGCAUGGGUGGGGGUUGAAAGCUCCGGCGGUGAAGGAUGAGCCCGCGGCCUAUCAGCUUGUUGGUGAGGUAGUGGCUCACCAAGGCGACGACGGGUAGCCGGCCUGAGAGGGCGACCGGCCACACUGGGACUGAGACACGGCCCAGACUCCUACGGGAGGCAGCAGUGGGGAAUAUUGCACAAUGGGCGAAAGCCUGAUGCAGCGACGCCGCGUGAGGGAUGACGGCCUUCGGGUUGUAAACCUCUUUCAGCAGGGAAGAAGCGAAAGUGACGGUACCUGCAGAAGAAGCGCCGGCUAACUACGUGCCAGCAGCCGCGGUAAUACGUAGGGCGCAAGCGUUGUCCGGAAUUAUUGGGCGUAAAGAGCUCGUAGGCGGUCUGUCGCGUCGGAUGUGAAAGCCCGGGGCUUAACCCCGGGUCUGCAUUCGAUACGGGCAGACUAGAGUGUGGUAGGGGAGAUCGGAAUUCCUGGUGUAGCGGUGAAAUGCGCAGAUAUCAGGAGGAACACCGGUGGCGAAGGCGGAUCUCUGGGCCAUUACUGACGCUGAGGAGCGAAAGCGUGGGGAGCGAA
Molecule: ribosomal RNA, 704 nt
Filed under: Streptomyces sp.
Lineage: Bacteria; Bacillati; Actinomycetota; Actinomycetes; Kitasatosporales; Streptomycetaceae
Description: bacterial SSU rRNA
Rfam family: Bacterial small subunit ribosomal RNA
Source: RNAcentral